UGUGUAGGCGGACUAAUAAGUCAGUGGUGAAAUCUCUCGGCUCAACCGGGAAACUGCCAUUGAUACUGUUAGUCUUGAGUUCGGUUGAGGUAGGCGGAAUGUGUAAUGUAGCGGUGAAAUGCUUAGAUAUUACACAGAACACCAAUUGCGUAGGCAGCUUACUAGACCGACACUGACGCUGAGGCACGAAAGCGUGGGUAGCGAACAGGAUUAGAUACCCUGGUAGUC
This 228-nucleotide ribosomal RNA is filed under the name uncultured bacterium. Its description in RNAcentral is "partial 16S ribosomal RNA". It matches the Rfam family "Bacterial small subunit ribosomal RNA", at positions 568 to 795 of the family's 1533-position model. The record is from RNAcentral.